RNAcentral lists this ribosomal RNA (319 nucleotides) under uncultured eukaryote. RNAcentral describes it as "partial 18S ribosomal RNA". It matches the Rfam family "Eukaryotic small subunit ribosomal RNA", at positions 1470 to 1796 of the family's 1831-position model. The record is from RNAcentral.
CCCUUAGAUGUUCUGGGCUGCACGCGUGCUACAAUGGCGUUUCCAGCAAGUCUGCGAACCCGAGAGGGCCAGCGGAUCUUCGAAUUGGCGUCGUGAUCGGGACAGUCGAUUGCAGUUAUUUGACUCAAACGAGGAAUUCCUUGUAAUCGCGAUUCAUCAUAUCGCGCUGAAUACGUCCCUGCCCUUUGUACACACCGCCCGUCGCUCCUACCGAUUGAGCGAUCCGGUAAAUGUUUUGGAUUGGUGCCGGGGCGGCUAGCUGCCGGUCGCUACGAAAUUUUGUGAACCUUAUCGCUUAGAGGAAGGAAAAGUCGUAACA